Molecule: ribosomal RNA, 372 nt
Filed under: uncultured bacterium
Lineage: Bacteria
Description: bacterial SSU rRNA
Rfam family: Bacterial small subunit ribosomal RNA
Source: RNAcentral
GACGAACGCUGGCGGCGUGCUUAACACAUGCAAGUCGAGCGGUAAGGCCCUUUCGGGGGUACACGAGCGGCGAACGGGUGAGUAACACGUGGGUGACCUGCCCUCAGCUCUGGGAUAAGCCUGGGAAACCGGGUCUAAUACUGGAUAUGACUCCAUGACGCAUGUUGUGGGGUGGAAAGCCUUGUGCGGCUGAGGAUGGGCCCGCGGCCUAUCAGCUUGUUGGUGGGGUGAGGCCUACCAAGGCGACGACGGGUAGCCGGCCUGAGAGGGCGACCGGCCACACUGGGACUGAGACACGGCCCAGACUCCUACGGGAGGCAGCAGUGGGGAAUCUUGCGCAAUGGGCGAAAGCCUGACGCAGCGACGCCGCGU